UGAGUGAAGAAGGCUUUCGGGUCGUAAAACUCUGUUGUUGGAGAAGAAUGGUCGGCAGAGUAACUGUUGCCGGCGUGACGGUAUCCAACCAGAAAGCCACGGCUAACUACGUGCCAGCAGCCGCGGUAAUACGUAGGUGGCAAGCGUUAUCCGGAUUUAUUGGGCGUAAAGCGAGCGCAGGCGGUUUUUUAAGUCUGAUGUGAAAGCCCUCGGCUUAACCGAGGAAGCGCAUCGGAAACUGGGAAACUUGAGUGCAGAAGAGGACAGUGGAACUCCAUGUGUAGCGGUGAAAUGCGUAGAUAUAUGGAAGAACACCAGUGGCGAAGGCGGCUGUCUGGUCUGUAACUGACGCUGAGGCUCGAAAGCAUGGGUAGCGAACAGGAUUAGAUACCCUGGUAGUCCAUGCCGUAAACGAUGAAUGCUAGGUGUUGGAGGGUUUCCGCCCUUCAGUGCCGCAGCUAACGCAUUAAGCAUUCCGCCUGGGGAGUACGACCGCAAGGUUGAAACUCAAAGGAAUUGACGGGGGCCCGCACAAGCGGUGGAGCAUGUGGUUUAAUUCGAAGCAACGCGAAGAACCUUACCAGGUCU
Molecule: ribosomal RNA, 588 nt
Filed under: Lacticaseibacillus paracasei
Lineage: Bacteria; Bacillati; Bacillota; Bacilli; Lactobacillales; Lactobacillaceae
Description: bacterial SSU rRNA
Rfam family: Bacterial small subunit ribosomal RNA
Source: RNAcentral